GACAGCAGUAGCCGCGGUAAAACAGAGGGUGCGAGCGUUAAUCGGAUUUACUGGGCGUAAAGCGUGCGUAGGCGGCUUCUUAAGUCGGAUGUGAAAUCCCUGAGCUUAACUUAGGAAUUGCAUUCGAUACUGGGAAGCUAGAGUAUGGGAGAGGAUGGUAGAAUUCCAGGUGUAGCGGUGAAAUGCGUAGAGAUCUGGAGGAAUACCGAUGGCGAAGGCAGCCAUCUGGCCUAAUACUGACGCUGAGGUACGAAAGCAUGGGGAGCAAACAGGAUUAGAUACCCCCGUAGUCCCUGUCUCUUAUAC
RNAcentral lists this ribosomal RNA (306 nucleotides) under uncultured bacterium. Its description in RNAcentral is "partial 16S ribosomal RNA". It matches the Rfam family "Bacterial small subunit ribosomal RNA", at positions 507 to 807 of the family's 1533-position model. The record is from RNAcentral.